Molecule: long non-coding RNA, 5091 nt
Filed under: Arabidopsis thaliana (thale cress)
Lineage: Eukaryota; Viridiplantae; Streptophyta; Magnoliopsida; Brassicales; Brassicaceae
Description: long non-coding RNA (ATHA_LNC000036)
Source: RNAcentral
UUUUGUGGAGUUUAACCUUAUUUCUGCGGCAAUGGUGGUAGUUUAAUAUUUCAUAUUGUGCUCAUCAUGAUGCUAUCUAAACAGUCUUAAUGCCCAACUAUCUACUUAUUGCAAUCUUCACGGCGAUUUACCUGUGAAAUUUAGAAAAAGGAAAGGAAAAAUAAAUAUAAAGAAACUUUUAAGUGGAAAGUGACACUACAAUGAGACCUGCAAAAACUCGACAAGUUUGAAAUAAACAACUAAAAAGAAUCCACACACAGAACAAUAAACCUUUACAAAGAAAAAACCAACAACUUUGUGCCACUAAAUCUAUAGAGUGUCAAUAAUGUUGCUGUACGGAAAGGGAUUCACUUGGGGUCUACAUGAAAUUCAUGGUGUUCUUUGAUGAUGCAUUGAUUCUCUAGAACAAGAAAUAGGAGAUACAUCAUUCAUAUUAACCGAUAUACUCUGAAUUUUUAAUACGAAAACUAGACUAAAAUGCUCUGUUAUCAAUGUGUCUAAUAUAGAAGAAAGUAUAUCUUACUUACAUGAGAAGAAAAAUGUUUCUCCUGUGUAUUUGUCCACUAGAGCGACCAAGGUAUUGUGAGCUACGAUUACAAUAACAAAGGUGAAUUAGCCAAUGCCCCCAAUAAUUGGGACAAUGUAAUCAUGAAAAUAUAAAAAAAACAAUAAAGCAAACAGAAAAUAGAAUGUAACAAUGAACAAUUAAAGGUUGCUUCUUUAGUCAUGAAAAAGGAGUAAUAAUGUUUAGGCCACUGGUUUUCAUUGCACACAAAAGUCACAUAAGACAGAUACACGACGAAGGGUAGUUAUUCACUGCAAAUCUAUUGACAUAAUUGGUUACUGUAAACUUUUUGCUCUCAUAGACUCCUUUGAGUCAUUAUAUCCUAAGACUCUACUUGUUGGAUGGUAGCCACUUAAUGUUACUAAAAAAGAAAGUAAAAGUAGAAGAAAGAAUGAAACAUAUCAGUCUACAAUUUCAACACUCUCCUAUUCCAAUAAGCAAUAUCAAUACCUUUUCAUUUAUAUUUAUUCGUAAUGCCUCCUUUGUUCAAACUGUCACUCCACAUUACCAUCUUCUUCAGCCUUUGCUUCCAUUUUUCCCGACUAUGUAGGCGAGGCCCCUACAUCUUUCAAUCACACAAAAAACAGAACAUGACGUUAUUGGAAGAAACAACACAUACCCACAAGUUAACACUAUACAUACAUCAUAUCUUCUAUGUUUAUUUAUUGCAAGUAGCACAAAGUGGUAUCUAUUUUUCUGCACAUCUUUUUAUGAAUUUUCCUUUUUUAUGAUAAUUCUGAGCAAAGAACACAUAUCACCUCCAACUAAGAUCUAAUUUACUGGAGAAGAAAAAUCAUGAUAAGGCCUUACUUGGUCUAUCAGGACCACCAAUAAGAACAUCAAACUUUUAUAUGCCCUGUUCAAUAUGUCAUGCUGAAAGUUGAGAUUUCUGUAGUACUGAGAUAACGCAAAGCGGUUCCACAUGCAGCUGUGGUACUUUUUUCCUUUCUUAAGCAAUUUACGGCAAGAGAGGAUACACAUGAACGUCACCAGGGAGACCUAAAAUAUGUAUACACAACACGAUUAUUUUCUCUCUUAAGAUCAUGAAAAAAGGAAUGCUAGGUUACAACAUGUGUUUAGGACAGCUCUGUAUCCAUCCUGCAAAGAAGAGUAGCCGAUGCUGAUGUUUGGUCCUAAGGGGUAACUUACUUCCAAGCUUUAUAGUCAAAUUUAUAUAUACUGCAAGAACUGACAGGAUCAAGUGAUGCAAAAUGGUCCCAAUAAGCAUGAUCCAAUAGAGUUUACCAGUGUAGAGGGUGGUGGGCAAGAUUGUCUUCUCUUAAACUGAGCUCAAGUACCAUGAGACCCAAGUAGGGGCCCUAGUGUACAUGCUCUGACAAUAAACUUAGCCAAAAGACAAAAUAAUAACAAGUAAUAACUAUGCAGUAAAAUAAAGUUUUUACCUAUUAUGCAGUAAAUCUUGGCAGGGAGAGAAUGUAUGUACCCGCGAUGUGAAUUACUAACCUACCAUAAAAAAGAUGAGAAAUAGAAGUUAGAAAUACUUUUCUAGUAACUUUCACACUAUAUAAUAUGCAAGAAAUUAAUUAAAAACGUCACAAAGAUAUCUUAAUUUGCAGCAAGAGACAAAAAGUAAUGGCAAUCCAGCUAUAUAGUGAACACAAGUAUAUGACUGUACCGCCUAAAACCUUUCCUUUAAAUUCCCCUUUCUACCUCUUUUUUUUUUUCCCUCAGAGUAGUACUCUAAACCUCAAGUUUACCUCUACUUCUCUUAUACCAUUCCGCCUCUUAUUCUUUGCAAUUUCUCUCAACAAAGUAGAAAUGGGAUUGACCUCAUCCUUACGGUUCCAUAGACAAAACAACAAGACUUUCCUCGGAAUCUUCAUGAUCUUGGUUCUAAGCUGUAUACCAGGUAGAACCAAUCUUUGUUCCAAUCAUUCUGUUAGUACCCCAAAAGAAUUACCUUCUUCAAAUCCUUCAGAUAUUCGUUCCUCAUUAGUUUCACUAGAUUUGGAGGGUUAUAUAAGCUUCGACGAUGUCCACAAUGUGGCCAAGGACUUUGGCAACAGAUACCAGUUACCACCUUUGGCAAUUCUACAUCCAAGGUCAGUUUUUGAUAUUUCAUCGAUGAUGAAGCAUAUAGUACAUCUGGGCUCCACCUCAAAUCUUACAGUAGCAGCUAGAGGCCAUGGUCACUCGCUUCAAGGACAAGCUCUAGCUCAUCAAGGUGUUGUCAUCAAAAUGGAGUCACUUCGAAGUCCUGAUAUCAGGAUUUAUAAGGGGAAGCAACCAUAUGUUGAUGUCUCAGGUGGUGAAAUAUGGAUAAACAUUCUACGCGAGACUCUAAAAUACGGUCUUUCACCAAAGUCCUGGACAGACUACCUUCAUUUGACCGUUGGAGGUACACUAUCUAAUGCUGGAAUCAGCGGUCAAGCAUUCAAGCAUGGACCCCAAAUCAACAACGUCUACCAGCUAGAGAUUGUUACAGGUAUUUCAUUCAUGCUUUAUCUCUGCGGUAGUCUCAAAAAAAUAUGCACCUGUAAAGAAUAUCCAUCUCUUCAUGAGCAAAAACACUGACGACUUUAAAUAAUUUUUGACUAUAAAACAAGAGUGCAUAGGCACAAAUGUGAAAUAUGCAACACACAAUUGUAACUUGCACCAAGAAAAAAGUUAUAAAAACAAACAACUGAUAAGCAAUAUAUUUCCAAUAUUUAAUCAGGGAAAGGAGAAGUCGUAACCUGUUCUGAGAAGCGGAAUUCUGAACUUUUCUUCAGUGUUCUUGGCGGGCUUGGACAGUUUGGCAUAAUCACCCGGGCACGGAUCUCUCUUGAACCAGCACCGCAUAUGGUAAAGUUCUAUCUUGAACAAAGUUCAAACAAUAUACGCUAUGAUUCUAAGAACCACUUUCCUGACACAGUCAAAUAACUUUUAAUAGGUUAAAUGGAUCAGGGUACUCUACUCUGACUUUUCUGCAUUUUCAAGGGACCAAGAAUAUCUGAUUUCGAAGGAGAAAACUUUUGAUUACGUUGAAGGAUUUGUGAUAAUCAAUAGAACAGACCUUCUCAAUAAUUGGCGAUCGUCAUUCAGUCCCAACGAUUCCACACAGGCAAGCAGAUUCAAGUCAGAUGGGAAAACUCUUUAUUGCCUAGAAGUGGUCAAAUAUUUCAACCCAGAAGAAGCUAGCUCUAUGGAUCAGGUAAGAUGUGAAAGCAAUAUAUAACUAGACUUAGUUUCCACAGAGAGCUCCAAAUCAACCGUUGGCUACUAGCCUACUAACAUAAUGAAUGGUUGCCGUGCAGGAAACUGGCAAGUUACUUUCAGAGUUAAAUUAUAUUCCAUCCACUUUGUUUUCAUCUGAAGUGCCAUAUAUCGAGUUUCUGGAUCGCGUGCAUAUCGCAGAGAGAAAACUAAGAGCAAAGGGUUUAUGGGAGGUUCCACAUCCCUGGCUGAAUCUCCUGAUUCCUAAGAGCAGCAUAUACCAAUUUGCUACAGAAGUUUUCAACAACAUUCUCACAAGCAACAACAACGGUCCUAUCCUUAUUUAUCCAGUCAAUCAAUCCAAGUAAGUGAGCAAAAUGCCAAAAGCAAAUGCGUCCAGUGAUUCUGAAACAUAAAUUACUAACCAUAUCCAACAUUUUGUGGUUUCAGGUGGAAGAAACAUACAUCUUUGAUAACUCCAAAUGAAGAUAUAUUCUAUCUCGUAGCCUUUCUCCCCUCUGCAGUGCCAAAUUCCUCAGGGAAAAACGAUCUAGAGUACCUUUUGAAACAAAACCAAAGAGUUAUGAACUUCUGCGCAGCAGCAAACCUCAACGUGAAGCAGUAUUUGCCCCAUUAUGAAACUCAAAAAGAGUGGAAAUCACACUUUGGCAAAAGAUGGGAAACAUUUGCACAGAGGAAACAAGCCUACGACCCUCUAGCGAUUCUAGCACCUGGCCAAAGAAUAUUCCAAAAGACAACAGGAAAAUUAUCUCCCAUCCAACUCGCAAAGUCAAAGGCAACAGGAAGUCCUCAAAGGUACCAUUACGCAUCAAUACUGCCGAAACCUAGAACUGUAUAAAAGUUUCCUGUGUCCGUCCUUGUAACCGCUCAGGCUAGGCAGCAAGAAAGUGAAAAAUUCUUUCUUUUUUGUUUCUUUUGGUGAACAACAAAUUUUACAGUCUGAAACAGAUUGGGACAAUUGUAUAGGAUCUCCAUAAAAAUCCUACGCAGUGUCAUUACUUUUGGUGCUCCAAAAACUCAAAAAACAUCAUUUUUAAAUCUACUAUAAGCAAACAAAUUACAAUAGCUCAAAAAAUCACCAAAUCAGAACUCUGGGUGCAAAGCGAUUUACCUUGAAGAAUCGAUUCUCAAUUGGGUCCACGAAUCUCGUUAAUGGAGCCAAGCUACGAUUUUUCCAAUCGAUUUUUGUACUGAAACAACAACGAUUAUCCCAAUUUCUCAUCAAGAUGGCAGAAAUUUGGCGCCUUUCCGCCAUGAAUAGUCACGACGAGAUUAUUUUCUCUCUUCAGAUUGUGAUUUCAAAUUUCACUUCGUUUGUCACACGCGUGAAGCAACAAAACACACGUGUG